AGCGCAGACGGUUGAUUAAGUCUGAUGUGAAAGCCCGGAGCUCAACUCCGGAAUGGCAUUGGAAACUGGUUAACUUGAGUGUUGUAGAGGUAAGUGGAACUCCAUGUGUAGCGGUGGAAUGCGUAGAUAUAUGGAAGAACACCAGUGGCGAAGGCGGCUUACUGGACAACAACUGACGUUGAGGCUUGAAAGUGUGGGUAGCAAACA
Molecule: ribosomal RNA, 207 nt
Filed under: uncultured bacterium
Lineage: Bacteria
Description: partial 16S ribosomal RNA
Rfam family: Bacterial small subunit ribosomal RNA
Source: RNAcentral